RNAcentral lists this long non-coding RNA (275 nucleotides) under Bos mutus (wild yak). RNAcentral describes it as "lncRNA (ENSBMUG00000024276.1)". The record is from RNAcentral. Lineage: Eukaryota; Metazoa; Chordata; Mammalia; Artiodactyla; Bovidae.
ACGUCUGAAGCUAAAUCCAGUCUAGUGACAGUGGUCAUCGCCAGCGAGGAACCACUUGGUCUGUGACGCCAAACUAUUCGGUUCUUUGUGAGUCUUUUCCAUCAAGCAAGCUCUUGGGUACUUCUCUGAGUGUAAAGAAACAUACAUGCCCCUUGAUGACUGUGGGACUAUUGUUUUGCGAGGAUGUUAUUUCCUCAGCAAAUGGGAAGUUGCCCUCUAUAAAAAUGCUCAUUUCUAAAGGUAAGCUUAAAGAUGUUAGAGUGGAGCUCUUCUUU